GAUGAAGAACGUAGCGAAAUGCGAUAAGUAAUGUGAAUUGCAGAAUUCAGUGAAUCAUCGAAUCUUUGAACGCACAUUGCGCCCGCCAGUAUUCUGGCGGGCAUGCCUGUUCGAGCGUCAUUUCAACCAUCAAGCCCUGCUUGCGUUGGGGUCCUGCGGCUGCCCGCAGGCCCUGAAAACCAGUGGCGGGCUCGCUAGUCACACCGAGCGCAGUAAUACAUCUCGCUUUGGGCGUGCGGCGGGUUCUUGCCGUUAAACACCCCCUUUUUACCAAGGUUGACCUCGGAUCAGGUAGGAAUACCCGCUGAACUUAAGCAUAUCAAUAAGCGAGGA
Molecule: unclassified non-coding RNA, 333 nt
Filed under: soil metagenome
Description: partial contains 5.8S ribosomal RNA, internal transcribed spacer 2, and large subunit ribosomal RNA
Rfam family: 5.8S ribosomal RNA (bases 1-120)
Source: RNAcentral